Molecule: ribosomal RNA, 1659 nt
Filed under: human gut metagenome
Description: bacterial LSU rRNA
Rfam family: Bacterial large subunit ribosomal RNA
Source: RNAcentral
CGGCAUGGGAGGGCCGGCCGCAGCGGGUGACAGCCCCGUACGCGAACCCAGACCGGACGGCGCGACGCGGUCCCUGAGUAGGGCCGGGCACGUGAAACCCGGUCCGAACCUGGGUGGACCACCAUCCAAGCCUGAGUACUACCCUGUGACCGAUAGCGCACCAGUACCGUGAGGGAAAGGUGAAAAGCACCCCGGGAGGGGAGUGAAACAGUACCUGAAACCGUGCGCCCACGAGCAGUCGGAGCACCCUUCGGGGUGUGACGGCGUGCCUUUUGUAGAAUGAGCCAGCGAGUCGCUGGCGCGGGGCGAGGUUAACCGAAAGGGAGCCGGAGCGAAAGCGAGCCUUAACAGGGCGACUUGAGUCCCGCGCCGCGGACGCGAAGCCGGGUGAGCUAUCCGUGGGCAGGCUGAAGCGGGGGUAAGACCCCGUGGAGGGCCGAACGCACGUCGGUUGAAAACGGCGGCGAUGACCUGCGGAUAGGGGUGAAAGGCCAAUCAAACCCGGAGAUAUCUCGUUCUCCCCGAAAUAGCUUUAGGGCUAGCGUCGCGCGUUCACCGCCGGAGGUAGAGCACCGGAUGGACGAGGGGGCUUCGCCGCCUACCGAAUCCAACCGAACUCCGAAUGCCGGCGGCCCAGAGCGCGGCAGUCAGAGCAUGUGGGCUAAGCUGUGUGCUCGAGAGGGAAACAGCCCGGACCGCCCGCUAAGGUCCCCAAGUUCCAGCCGAGUGGCAAAGGAUGUGCGUCCGCCCAGACAACCAGGAUGUUGGCUUAGAAGCAGCCAUCCAUUCAAAGAGUGCGUAACAGCUCACUGGUCGAGUGGACAUGCGCCGACAAUACACGGGGCUAAGCUGGACACCGAAGCGGCGGGAUUUUACCUAAGUAGAAUCGGUAGGGGAGCUUCCCAUGGGCGGAGAAGCCGGAGGGCGACCGACGGUGGAGCGCAUGGGAGUGAGAAUGCUGGCAUGAGUAGCGAGAGACGAGAGAGUAACUCGUCCGCCGUGAACCCGAGGUUUCCUGGGCAAGGCUAAUCCUCCCAGGGUCAGUCGGGGGCUAAGGCGAGGCCGGUAGGCGUAGCCGACGCGCAGCAGGCAGACAUUCCUGCACCGCGCACGCGGCGCUACGACCGACGGGGCGACGGAUGGGGGUGGCUCGGCGGGGUUCUGGACGUCCCCGUGAUGGAGCGCGGCCCGCGGACCAGGGAAAUCCGGUCCGCACACAGGGCGAGGCUCCGGACGAAGCGACUGAGCGAAGCGAGUGAGCCCGAGGUCCCUAGAAAAACCCCUAGGCAGGCGCGUGCGCGCCCGUACCGCAAACCGACACAGGUGGGUGGGUAGAACAUACCGAGGCGAUCGGGUCAACCAUGGUCAAGGAACUCGGCACAAUGGCCCCGUAACUUCGGGAGAAGGGGUGCCCGCGCGUACGUGAACCGGCUUGCCCGGGGAGCGGAGGCGGGCCGCAGUGGAGAGGCCCAAGCGACUGUUUACCAAAAACACAGGACUCUGCAGAAGCCGCAAGGCGACGUAUAGGGUCUGACGCCUGCCCGGUGCCGGAAGGUCACGCGGAGGAGUUAGCCGUUAAGGCGAAGCCCCGAAGCCAAGCCCCGGUAAACGGCGGCCGUAACUAUAACGGUCCUAAGGUAGCGAAAUUCCUUGUCGGGU